AGCGUCAUAUAGAGGUUUUGCUACAAGGCCAUAAUUUGGAAUCCAGACACGACGGAACCACACGACGGAACCCAGCCAUCCGGAGAAAGCCUCGGAGUUGCCUCUUUGUGGUUGGAGACAGUAAUAAAUAGCCAGCUCUAGUGAUACAGGCUGCAACAUGGGACCUUUUGCUGCGGUGCUGCAGUGCUUGCACCUGGACACCCCUCUCCUCCAGCAACAAAAUACAAAGAAAUUGUAUGGGACUAAAAAUAACUGCACGCAUGCGCAGUCGGGACAAAUCCUGGAUAAAAGAUACAAAGAAACCAAAAAACCCAACUGCCACUCUUGAAGAGCCCGGAGCCAAAGCAGGGUACUGCGCAUGCCUCCUGCACACACCACCUAUGGGGUGGGAAAACCACCAAAGCCUUCCUCUGGCCUGACCCCUGGACACACCCCUACCCUCACCCACAUAAAGAACACCCUCAGGGAGCCAGCAAGCAAGGGAAACUGUUGUUUGCUCUCACUUCCCCCUGCUGCAGCAGGGGCCCCAAUAAAGCCUUGCCUGAA
Long non-coding RNA from Aethalodelphis obliquidens (Pacific white-sided dolphin), 546 nucleotides. RefSeq lists it as uncharacterized. NCBI's taxonomy places the organism in Eukaryota, Metazoa, Chordata, Mammalia, Artiodactyla, Delphinidae. The transcript has 2 exons. The record is from RefSeq and is a predicted model, not a curated record.